GACGAACGCUGGCGGCGUGCUUAACACAUGCAAGUCGAACGGAAAGGCCCUGCUUUUGUGGGGUGCUCGAGUGGCGAACGGGUGAGUAACACGUGAGUAACCUGCCCUUGACUUUGGGAUAACUUCAGGAAACUGGGGCUAAUACCGGAUAGGAGCUCCUUCUGCAUGGUGGGGGUUGGAAAGUUUCGGCGGUUGGGGAUGGACUCGCGGCUUAUCAGCUUGUUGGUGGGGUAGUGGCUUACCAAGGCUUUGACGGGUAGCCGGCCUGAGAGGGUGACCGGCAAAAUUGGGACUGAGAUACGGCCAAGACUCCUACGGGAGGAAGCAGUGGGGAAUAUUGCAAAAUGGGCGGAAGCCUGAUGCAGCAACGCCGCGGGCGGGAUGACGGCCUUCGGGUUGUAAACCGCUUUCGCCUGUGACGAAGCGUGAGUGACGGUAAUGGGUAAAGAAGCACCGGCUAACUACGUG
This 468-nucleotide ribosomal RNA is filed under the name uncultured bacterium. RNAcentral's name for it is "partial 16S ribosomal RNA". It matches the Rfam family "Bacterial small subunit ribosomal RNA", at positions 28 to 507 of the family's 1533-position model. The record is from RNAcentral.